CUGCUGUACUGAAUUUUGAAAUCAUUGGCUUGUCCUUGGAGCCGCAGGAAUGACAAAUGAAGUUCAACAUUAUACCGACCCCUUGGUGUCAGGAUUGCAACACCAUCAAACGUAACAACAGCUUCUUCACCACCAGGGUCAACAUCUGCCAUUGACAAAAUCUUUUCUCGGAAGACCUGAGCAGGAGGUCGAUUUUCAUCACCAACAUAUUGGGUGUUGUUACCAGGUAUGUGAAAACUCAUCUCCAUCAAUGAAUCUUUCUCAUUAGCUCCAGUUGUAUCAUCCACGUGGAACUCCAAUAUGACAUCAUUUUUUCCUUGCAACUGCAUUUGUGAGACAUCUGCUAAAGAUACCUCAAAUGCUUGCUUUGAACCAACCAGAA
This 382-nucleotide unclassified non-coding RNA is filed under the name Hevea brasiliensis (rubber tree). The record is from RNAcentral. Lineage: Eukaryota; Viridiplantae; Streptophyta; Magnoliopsida; Malpighiales; Euphorbiaceae.